GAAAACGACUGCUAAGACUGGAUAGGAGAUAAGAAGGCAUCUUCUUCUUUUUAAAAGACCUAGCAAUAGGUAUGCUUAGGGAGGAGCUUGCGUCACAUUAGUUAGUUGGUGGGGUAAAGGCCUACCAAGACUAUGAUGUGUAGCCGGGCUGAGAGGUUGAACGGCCACAUUGGGACUGAGACACGGCCCAAACUCCUACGGGAGGCAGCAGUAGGGAAUUUUCGGCAAUGGAGGAAACUCUGACCGAGCAACGCCGCGUGAACGAUGAAGUAUUUCGGUACGUAAAGUUCUUUUAUUAGGGAAGAAUAAAUGAUGGAAAAAUCAUUCUGACGGUACCUAAUGAAUAAGCCCCGGCUAACUAUGUGCCAGCAGCCGCGGUAAUACAUAGGGGGCAAGCGUUAUCCGGAAUUAUUGGGCGUAAAGGGUGCGUAGGCGGUUAAAUAAGUUUAUGGUCUAAGUGCAAUGCUCAACAUUGUGAUGCUAUAAAAACUGUUUAGCUAGAGUAAGAUAGAGGCAAGUGGAAUUCCAUGUGUAGUGGUAAAAUGCGUAAAUAUAUGGAGGAACACCAGUAGCGAAGGCGGCUUGCUGGGUCUUUACUGACGCUGAGGCACGAAAGCGUGGGGAGCAAACAGGAUUAGAUACCCUGGUAGUCCACGCCGUAAACGAUGAGUACUAAACGUUGGGUAAAACCAGUGUUGAAGUUAACACAUUAAGUACUCCGCCUGAGUAGUACGUACGCAAGUAUGAAACUUAAAGGAAUUGACGGGACUCCGCACAAGCGGUGGAUCAUGUUGUUUAAUUCGAAGGUACCCGAAAAACCUCACCAGGUCUUGACAUGCUUCUGCAAAGCUGUAGAAACACAGUGGAGGUUAUCAGUUGCACAGGUGGUGCAUGGUUGUCGUCAGCUCGUGUCGUGAGAUGUUGGGUUAAGUCCCGCAACGAGCGCAACCCUUAUUGUUAGUUACCAGCACGUAAUGGUGGGGACUUUAGCAAGACUGCCGGUGAUAAAUUGGAGGAAGGUGGGGACGACGUCAAAUCAUCAUGCCCCUUAUGACCUGGGCUACAAACGUGAUACAAUGGCUGUUACAAAGGGUAGCUGAAACGCAAGUUUUUGGCGAAUCUCAAAAAAACAGUCUCAGUUCGGAUUGAAGUCUGCAACUCGACUUCAUGAAGUUGGAAUCGCUAGUAAUCGCGAAUCAGCAUGUCGCGGUGAAUACGUUCUCGGGGUUUGUACACACCGCCCGUC
This 1246-nucleotide ribosomal RNA is filed under the name 'Vaccinium corymbosum' phytoplasma. RNAcentral describes it as "bacterial SSU rRNA". It matches the Rfam family "Bacterial small subunit ribosomal RNA", at positions 152 to 1398 of the family's 1533-position model. Lineage: Bacteria; Bacillati; Mycoplasmatota; Mollicutes; Acholeplasmatales; Acholeplasmataceae. The record is from RNAcentral.